This 294-nucleotide ribosomal RNA is filed under the name Blastocystis sp. Its description in RNAcentral is "partial small subunit ribosomal RNA". It matches the Rfam family "Eukaryotic small subunit ribosomal RNA", at positions 42 to 348 of the family's 1831-position model. Lineage: Eukaryota; Bigyra; Opalinata; Blastocystidae. The record is from RNAcentral.
GAUUAAGCCAUGCAUGUGUAAGUAUAAAUAAUUCUACUUUGAAACUGCGAAUGGCUCAUUAUAUCAGUUAUAGUUUAUUAGAAAUAAUUUACUACUUGGAUAACCGUAGUAAUUCUAGGGCUAAUACAUGAGUAAAUCCUCGACUUUGAAGAGGUGUGUUUAUUAGUAUGAAAACCAUAUGCUUUUGCAUAAUAGUGAGUAAUAAUAACCUUUCAUAUCGUAUGUUGUAAUAACGAUAGUUCUUUCAAGUUUCUGCCCUAUCAGCUUUCGAUGGUAGUGCAUUGGACUACCAUG